AUUAAAAUGUUAUUUAUAAUAUAUUUUUGUUUCAAUAUAAUUGAAAAAUCAUUAAUUUUAAGUAUUUUUUAUGGAAAAAAUUUUUAUUAAUUAUAGUUAAUAAUUACUGUGAAGGAAUUAAUUUAAUUUAAAUAAAGUAAGUUUAAUAUAUUGUACCUUUUGUAUCAGGGUUUAUCAAAUUUAAAUCAAUUAAAUUGAUUUUCCCGAAAUUAAGAGAGAUAAUUUUAAUAUAUAAUAUUAUGUUAUAGAAUAAUUUAUAAUUUAAAAUUAGAGGUUAUAUGCUAUUCAAUCUUAAAUAUCUGGUUUUUUAAUAAUUUAAUUUAAUUAAUAUUUAAUAGAGUAAUUUUAAAAUUUAAUUUUAUUAUUAUCUAUUAAAUAAAUAUUCUUAGGGAUAAGCUUGAGAAUAAAAUUUAUAACUGUUAUAAUAUUAUAAAUUAUAUAAGGCUUAAAAACAGCCGUUAUAUUUCGUUAUAGAAAAGGUUUUUUUAUUAUUUAUUUCUUUAAAGUUUAAAUUUUUAUUAAAAUUUAAUUUUUUAUAUUAUAAAAUUAGUAAAAAUGGUAAAAUUAGUAGUAUUUUAACGUUAAAUUUAAGAAUUCGGCAAUUUAGGUUUUCGCCUGUUUAACAAAAACAUGUCCUAUUGAUUAUUUAUAUUAGGUCUGACCUGCUCUAUGAUUUUAUUAAAUGGCCGCAGUAUUUUAACUGUGCAAAGGUAGCAUAAUCAUUUGUCUUUUAAUUGAAGACUAGAAUGAAUGGUUUGACGAGAAACCAACUUUUUUAAUUUAAUUUUAUAUAAAUUUAAUUUUUUAGUUAAAAAGCUAAAAUGUAAUUAGAGGACGAGAAGACCCUAUAGAAUUUUAUUUUUUAUUUAUUUAUUUAUAUUGUGAUUAUGAUUUAUUUGAUUAGAUAAAAAAUUUUGUUGGGGUGACAUUAAGAUUUAAUUAACUCUUAAUUUAUGUUUUACAUUUAUUUAUGUUGAUAUUUUGUUCCUUUAUUAUGGAAUUAAAAGAUUAAUUUACCUUAGGGAUAACAGCGUGAUUUUUUUAGAGAGUUCAUAUCGAUGAAUAUAUAAGUUUGCGACCUCGAUGUUGGAUUAAAGUUAGAUUUUGGUGCAGUAGCUAAUUGUCUAGGUCUGUUCGACCUUUUAAGCUUUACAUGAUCUGAGUUCAGACCGGCGUGAGCCAGGUUGGUUUCUAUCCUUAACAUAAAUAGAAUAUUUUAGUACGAAAGGACCAAAUAUUUAUAUUAAAUAUUCAAUUUUGAAUCUAUUAU
RNAcentral lists this ribosomal RNA (1270 nucleotides) under Pachyphlegyas modiglianii. RNAcentral's name for it is "16S ribosomal RNA". The stretch from base 1024 to 1186 matches the Rfam family "Archaeal large subunit ribosomal RNA", at positions 2542 to 2701 of the family's 2987-position model. Lineage: Eukaryota; Metazoa; Arthropoda; Insecta; Hemiptera; Pachygronthidae. The record is from RNAcentral.